GCUAGUCGAUUAGAGCCCACCAUGCUAGUCGACUAGGGUUAGGAAUGAGAAGAGGUGGAGGCAAAUAAGAACCUUGAUUAGUUAGCACUAAUCAAUUAAAAAGAGAGUUUUGGAAAUAAAUUGAAUUAAAAUCUACAAUUUAAAUUAUAAAUUUAAUGACAAUUAAACUAGGAAAUAAUUCAAAGAAAGGAAGUUUAAAAGGUUUAAAAUAAUUCCUAAAUUAUCCUAGGCGAGUUGUAAGAUCUAGGGACAAAAAUGGAAAAUCACUAGUGGAUGAGAAACCCUUAGGAAAUACUAUAAAAGAAAGAGGAGAGAGAAGAAAUAAACUAGACCCUUGGGGCAUAUUGAAGGUAGACGAUUUCUCACUCCCUAUUCCUCUCUUUCUUUUAUGUUGGCUGGUGGUAGAGUUCUCAUGAGUGAUUAUAUGGUCGAUCCUUAAGUUAAGCUAGGCUCUUGAGGAUCUAGGAGAAAGAAGAAGAAAUCCAGAAAGAAGGUAUGGAUUCUCCUAUCCUAAGUUAAGGUUGGAAUAAAAGCAUGUGGUUAGACCUUUACUCUAACACAUAUUUUUAUAUAUUGUUCAUAUUUAAUUUCAAAAUGAUUUUUUUAUUUAUGAUUGUAUGAUUUAGAAUAAGUUGUAAACUUGAAUCAUAAAAUCGGGAGAAGAAAAAAAAACGACUCAAAUUAGAACAUAUAGGAACAUCAAGUUUAUUUGCACGUAUUCAUUAAAUUUAUUAUUUCAAGCAUGAAAUCAAUUAUACAAUGAUUAUAUGACUUCUAGUUUUGAUAUUCUUGUAUGAUUUAAACCUCAAAUAUGAAAAUCGAUCCUUAGGCCGGUUAGGAUUAUUAGGUUUAUGUCAAUAUGUCCCUAAGGUUUUAACUUAGUUUACAUCUUUUUGUCUUUAGAUGAUUGCUAUGAUUUUCGUAUGACUAAGAGUUACGAUAAGGUUAUAUGAAUUAAACCAUUAAAUAUGGAAAUCCAUCCUUAGGUUAUGUAUGAUUAGAGUUAACUAGUAAUUCAAAGUAAAGAAAAUAACAGAAAAUAUUUAAGAUGUAAUCAAUUUAAAAAUAAAAUCAAUCUUAAACUUAGAAAUUUCAUAUCUUAAGGUUCACUCACGAAAAGUAAGUAAUUGCAUGUGUAAGUCCAUCAAUUAAAUUGGGGUUUAUUAUGCUACUUUAAAAUCUUGGUAUAAAUGUAAAUCAACUUCUUUAAAAUAUUUACAAGCUAUGAUUUAUUAGUGUUUUGAUUAAAAUAGAAAUUUAUACACUUGAAUCUAACAAGGGAUAUGGGUAAAUUCUAAGAGAAUAAGUAAAGAAAUUACAUCAUAAAAUAUAAGAGAAUAAGUAAUGGAAUUACACCAAAACAUUUCCUUGGUGAGCAUGUGGCCUAAAGCCCAAGGGUUGGAAUGACCCUUGGGUUAUGAGUGGGGUCGGGUUAGUAACCUAGUGACGCACAAGAGUUCUCAGGGAGACCUUCUGCGCUCAUAUGGUCUAAUUCCGAUCUAAGUUAAGAGAGUAGGAGAGGACGAAACUAGGUUGAAUCAAGGUUUUCACCAGGGGGCCCUUGAUUCAUCUUAAGGUUCAUUCUGGGUUCACACUCACUUAGCUAGUACGUUGGGAAUGAAUGGACCAGGGAGAUGGUCGACCUGAAUCCAUAAUUGGGAGUUCGGACCUCGAUAUGAACGAGGCAAACCAAACUGAGGCCAACAAGUAAAGAAUGGAACUGGAAAAGAAAGAAAUCUGAUGGAUUGUGCCCCGACGGUCGAGUCUGGUCGAGUAUGUUGGAUCGUGAUCCGAGGCUAUAAGGGGGGAUAAUAGCCUCUUUUCGAUUUAUACAGGUUGAUUGCGGAAUUACCUGUAAACACUUAAUAAACAAAUGGUUGAACAAUAAUGAUAUAAAGAUAUUAUAACUUUGAUUGAUAUAAUAACGUAAUUAUUACUUUUCGAAGCUUACCAUAGUAUAUGAAUACUGAGUCAACUUGCUUGAUAGUGUUUUACACACAAUUAUAGUAUAUGAAUAAUAAGUUAUAUUGUAAACACAAAUUGUAUUGUAGAGUAAAUGACCAGAUAACUGGAUAUAUUGAUAAGCAAGUAAAUGACCAGAUAACUGGACAUAUUGAUAAGCAAGUAAAUGACCAGAUAACUGGAUAUAUAUGAUAAGUAAAUGCUUGAACAAAUAUAUGAAUAAGGAUUUAAAGCAAUGAAUAUAACCUCAGAUAGUUGACCAGAUAACUGGAUGAGGGAUCUGCGUAAAGUAGUCAACCUCUGUAUUUGACCAGAUAACUGGAAAAGGGAUCCUUUUCAAUUAUGUGUUGUUUAGUUGUUUUUAGAUGAAAGAUAAAAACUAAAGUUAACAAAGAACAACACAAGAGAUUUAUACUGGUUCACCCAAACAAGGGCUAAUCCAGUCCCGACCAACUGUCGAAAUUCACUCGCCUAAAGGUUAUGGCAAAACCUUAGAGUAUCAAGGAAACUCUUAAGAACCUCUCUAAGCUUUAAGGCUACUUCGCUUAGGAAUCAAUCUUUUACGGGUAGACUCACACCUUAGAGUAUCAAGGGCACUCUUAAGAACCUCUAACUUUUGUGAGUAAGUUAGUACCUUAGAGUAUCAAGGAACUCUUAAAAACCUUUCUAAGCUUUAAGGCUACUUCGCUUAGGAACUAGUUUUUUACGGGUAGACUCACACCUUAGAGUAUCAAGGGCACUCUUAAGAACCUUUAACUUUUACGGGUAAGUUAGUACCUUAGAGUAUCAAGGAACUCUUAAAAACCUAGAAAUCUUUCAAGGUAGAUUCGACCUAAGAGUUUUCCCGGAAACUCUAUAAAACCAAACUAGAGCUUUAUGGUUGAACUCGAAAACCUUUUCUCACACUUUGGUACUAUUGAGACAACCCUCUCAACCAAAGUGGACACACACAAGAGGUGAUUAGAGGAGUGGAAUAUUAAAGCAAACAACACUUCUUACUUGUAAAGAUGAACAAGAAGAUUAGAAGAAGAAGUACGGUUGGAGAGCUUUUGAAGCUUUGGAAAGCUAGGACACUUGAGAACUUGAAAGCUUGGAAGCUUGGAGGCAAAAACGUGUGGGCAAAUGUGGAGUGAAAGCUCUUGACUUUGCUUG
This 3114-nucleotide long non-coding RNA is filed under the name Zostera marina. Its description in RNAcentral is "long non-coding RNA (ZMAR_LNC004727)". Lineage: Eukaryota; Viridiplantae; Streptophyta; Magnoliopsida; Alismatales; Zosteraceae. The record is from RNAcentral.